This 253-nucleotide ribosomal RNA is filed under the name uncultured Lachnospiraceae bacterium. RNAcentral describes it as "partial 16S ribosomal RNA". It matches the Rfam family "Bacterial small subunit ribosomal RNA", at positions 524 to 776 of the family's 1533-position model. Lineage: Bacteria; Bacillati; Bacillota; Clostridia; Lachnospirales; Lachnospiraceae. The record is from RNAcentral.
UACGUAGGGGGCAAGCGUUAUCCGGAUUUACUGGGUGUAAAGGGAGCGUAGACGGCUGGCCAAGUCUGAAGUGAAAGCCCGGGGCUUAACCCCGGAACGGCUUUGGAAACUGGCCGGCUGGAGUGCUGGAGAGGCAGGCGGAAUUCCUGGUGUAGCGGUGAAAUGCUUAGAGAUCAUACAGAACACCGAUUGCGAAGGCAGCUUACCAAGCUACUUCUGACGUUGAGGCACGAAAGCGUGGGGAGCAAACAGG